This 89-nucleotide transfer RNA is filed under the name Paractinoplanes tereljensis. RNAcentral describes it as "Actinoplanes tereljensis tRNA-Ala". Lineage: Bacteria; Bacillati; Actinomycetota; Actinomycetes; Micromonosporales; Micromonosporaceae. The record is from RNAcentral.
UCGUUUCCAGGAGGGUUCGGUCCAGCCGGUUCGCGCCCGGCCCGGCCGGAUGGACGGCCGGCAGAUCGCCCGGUUCGAGCGGGACGUGC